RNAcentral lists this ribosomal RNA (496 nucleotides) under uncultured bacterium. RNAcentral's name for it is "partial 16S ribosomal RNA". It matches the Rfam family "Bacterial small subunit ribosomal RNA", at positions 30 to 523 of the family's 1533-position model. The record is from RNAcentral.
AUUGAACGCUGGCGGAAUGCUUUACACAUGCAAGUCGAACGGUAGAGGGGGCAACCCCUCGAGAGUGGCGAACGGGUGAGUAAUAUAUCGGAACGUGUCCAGUCGUGGGGGAUAACGUAGCGAAAGUUACGCUAAUACCGCAUACGAUCUAAGGAAGAAAGCGGGGGAUCGCAAGACCUCGCGCGAUUGGAGCGGCCGAUAGCAGAUUAGGUAGUUGGUGGGGUAAAGGGUCACCAAGCCAACGAUCUGUAGCUGGUCUGAGAGGACGACCAGCCACACUGGACCUGAGACACGGUCCAGACUCCUACGGGAGGCAGCAGUGGGGAAUUUUGGACAAUGGACGCAAGUCUGAUCCAGCCAUUCCGCGUGCAUGAUGAAGGCCCUCGGGUUGUAAACUGCUUUUGUACGGAACGAAAAGGUCUCUCUUAAUACGGGGGACUCAUGACGGUACCGUAAGAAUAAGCACCGGCUAACUACGUGCCAGCCGCCGCAGUAA